RNAcentral lists this small RNA (540 nucleotides) under Pongo abelii (Sumatran orangutan). RNAcentral's name for it is "processed transcript". Lineage: Eukaryota; Metazoa; Chordata; Mammalia; Primates; Hominidae. The record is from RNAcentral.
GCGCAUGCGCAGUUUCCUACAGUCCCGGAAACGGACCGUGUUGGGUGAAGGUGACGGCGUCGAGCAAAGGCGGGAGACAAUGCAUUGGAGCUGCAAAUCUUCUCUGAGUCUGAAGCAUCCUGCCUGAUGCGUUUGCUCACAUUGACCCAUGCCUUCCCUCAGUCCCUCUCAUCUCUACUGAGAUUCCGUCUCACCCUGACCCUGUGACAUGAACUUCUGAAGAGUCCACUGGGCAUGGUCCUGGGAAGGGCUCACACCCAGACAUGGAUGGAGAUGGGUUGACAUUCAGGGACGUGGCCAUCGAAUUCUCUCAAGACGAGUGGAAAUGCCUGAACUCUACACAGAGGACUUUAUACAGGGAUGUGAUGUUGGAGAACUACAGGAACCUGGUCUCCCUGGAUCCAUCUGUGAUAGCCUGUCUUCUUAUCCAAGCAAAGGGCUGAGAUUCUUGAAAAGCCACAGCACAUCAUGUUCCAUUCAUUUUAUAAGCAGGAAAUUCUCUUCCUGACCAGUGUAUUAUCCCAUGUGGGAGCACAGGAA